GAGUUUGAUCAUGGCUCAGAUUGAACGCUGGCGGUAUGCUUAACACAUGCAAGUCGAACGGUAACAUUUCCAGCUUCCUGGAAGAUGACGAGUGGCGGACGGGUGAGUAACGUAUCGGAACGUACCUAGUAAUGGGGAACAACCAGCCGAAAGGUUGGCUAAUACCGCAUACGACCUACGGGUGAAAGCAGGGGAUCUUCGGACCUUGCGUUAUUAGAGCGGCCGAUAUCUGAUUAGGUAGUUGGUGGGGUAAAGGCCUACCAAGCCGACGAUCAGUAGCUGGUCUGAGAGGACGAUCAGCCACACUGGAACUGAGACACGGUCCAGACUCCUACGGGAGGCAGCAGUGGGGAAUAUUGGACAAUGGGCGCAAGCCUGAUCCAGCCAUGCCGCGUGUGUGAAGAAGGCCUUAGGGUUGUAAAGCACUUUCAGCGAGGAGGAAAAGUGUACAGUUAAUACCUGUAUGCCGUGACGUUACCUACAGAAGAAGCACCGGCUAACUCCGUGCCAGCAGCCGCGGUAAUACUGAUGGUCCGAGCGUUAAUCGGAAUUACUGGGCGUAAAGCGCGCGUAGGUGGUUUGUUAAGUGGGAUGUGAAAGCCCUGGGCUCAACCUGGGAACUGCAUUCCAAACUGGCGAACUUGAGUACAAGAGAGGAUAGUGGAAUUUCCGGUGUAUCGGUGAAAUGCGUAGAGAUCGGAAGGAACAUCAGUGGCGAAGGCGGCCCCCUGGAUUGAUACUGACACUGAGGUGCGAAAGCGUGGGUAGCAAACAGGAUUAGAUACCCUGGUAGUCCACGCCGUAAACGAUGUCUACUAGCCGUUGGAGGGCUUGUCCCUUUAGUGGCGCAGCUAACGCGAUAAGUUGACCGCCUGGGGAGUACGGCCGCAAGGUUAAAACUCAAAUGAAUUGACGGGGGCCCGCACAAGCGGUGGAGCAUGUGGUUUAAUUCGAUGCAACGCGAAGAACCUUACCAGGUCUUGACAUCCCGAGAAUUUACUAGAGAUAGUUUAGUGCCUUCGGGAACUCGGUGACAGGUGCUGUAUGGCUGUCGUCAGCUCGUGUUGUGAGAUGUUGGGUUAAGUCACGACACGAGCGCAACCCUUGUCCUUAGUUGCCAGCACGUAAUGGUGGGAACUCUAAGGAGACUGCCGGUGACAAACCGGAGGAAGGUGGGGACGACGUCAAGUCAUCAUGGCCCUUACGACCUGGGCUACACACGUGCUACAAUGGUCGGUACAGAGGGUUGCCAAGCCGCGAGGUGGAGCUAAUCCCAGAAAACCGAUCGUAGUCCGGAUUGGAGUCUGCAACUCGACUCCAUGAAGUCGUAAUCGCUAGUAAUCGCGAAUCAGAAUGUCGCGGUGAAUACGUUCCCGGGCCUUGUACACACCGCCCGUCACACCAUGGGAGUGGGUUGCAAAAGAAGUGGGUAGGAAAACCUUCGGGAGGCCGCUCACCACUUUGUGAUUCAUGACUGGGGUGAAGUCGGGUAACAAGGUAACC
This 1503-nucleotide ribosomal RNA is filed under the name uncultured prokaryote. Its description in RNAcentral is "partial 16S ribosomal RNA". It matches the Rfam family "Bacterial small subunit ribosomal RNA". The record is from RNAcentral.